AUACAGAGGAUGCGAGCGUUAAUCGGAAUUACUGGGCGUAAAGCGCGCGUAGGCGGCUUGGUCAGUCGGAUGUGAAAGCCCCGGGCUCAACCUGGGAAUGGCAUUCGAUACUGCCAGGCUAGAGUAUGGGAGAGGGAAGUGGAAUUUCCGGUGUAGCGGUGAAAUGCGUAGAUAUCGGAAGGAACACCAGUGGCGAAGGCGACUUCCUGGCCCAAUACUGACGCUGAGGUGCGAAAGCGUGGGGAGCGAACAGGAUUAGAAACCCGAGUAGUCC
This 274-nucleotide ribosomal RNA is filed under the name uncultured bacterium. Its description in RNAcentral is "partial 16S ribosomal RNA". It matches the Rfam family "Bacterial small subunit ribosomal RNA", at positions 523 to 796 of the family's 1533-position model. The record is from RNAcentral.